GCCCGAGUGGUGAAAUUGGUAGACGCAGCGGACUCAAAAUCCGCCGCCGCAAGGCGUGCCGGUUCGAUUCCGGCCUCGGGCACCA
This 85-nucleotide transfer RNA is filed under the name Duganella sp. Root1480D1. RNAcentral's name for it is "tRNA-Leu". It matches the Rfam family "tRNA". Rfam says of the family: Transfer RNA (tRNA) molecules are approximately 80 nucleotides in length. Their secondary structure includes four short double-helical elements and three loops (D, anti-codon, and T loops). The record is from RNAcentral. Lineage: Bacteria; Pseudomonadati; Pseudomonadota; Betaproteobacteria; Burkholderiales; Oxalobacteraceae. RNAcentral also lists the same sequence under 20 other names.